AGUGAACGCUGGCGGUAGGCUUAACACAUGCAAGUCGAACGGCAGCACAGUAAGAGCUUGCUCUUACGGGUGGCGAGUGGCGGACGGGUGAGGAAUAUAUCGUAAUCUACUCUUUCGUGGGGCAUCACGUAGGUGAACUUACGCUCAUAUCGCAUACGCUCUACGGGUGUGAGCAGGGGAUCGUCUGAGCUGGUGGGAUUGAACGAGCCGAUGUCGGAUUAGCUAGUUGGCGGGGUAAAGGCCUACCCAGUGGACGAUCCGUAGCCGGUCUGAGUGGAUGGUCGGCCACACUAGAAGUGGACCACGGACCAGACUCCUGAGGGAGGCAGCAGUCGCGUAUGGGGGGCAGCAGGCGCGAGCCUGACCCAGCCAUACCGCGUGGGAGACGGAGGCCCUCGGUUCGUAAAGCCGUUUUGUUGGGAAAGAAAAGCAUCAGGCUAAGACCACGCGGUUCUGACGGUACCCGAUGAAUAAGCACCGGCUAACUACGUG
Molecule: ribosomal RNA, 492 nt
Filed under: uncultured bacterium
Lineage: Bacteria
Description: partial 16S ribosomal RNA
Rfam family: Bacterial small subunit ribosomal RNA
Source: RNAcentral